Molecule: ribosomal RNA, 494 nt
Filed under: Escherichia coli
Lineage: Bacteria; Pseudomonadati; Pseudomonadota; Gammaproteobacteria; Enterobacterales; Enterobacteriaceae
Description: bacterial SSU rRNA
Rfam family: Bacterial small subunit ribosomal RNA
Source: RNAcentral
ACAUGCAGUCGACGGUAACAGGAGCAGCUUGCUCUUUUGCUGACGAGUGGCGGACGGGUGAGUAAUGUCUGGGCAACUGCCUGAUGGAGGGGGAUAACUACUGGAACGGUAGCUAAUACCGCAUAACGUCGCAAGACCAAAGCGGGGGACCUUCGGGCCUCUUGCCAUCGGAUGUGCCCAGGAUGGGAUUAGCUAGUAGGUGGGGUAACGGCUCACCUAGGCGACGAUCCCUAGCUGGUCUGAGAGGAUGACCAGCCACACUGGAACUGAGACACGGUCCAGACUCCUACGGGGAGGCAGCAGUGGGGAAUAUUGCACAAAUGGGCGCAAGCUUGAUGCAGCCAUGCCGGUUGUAUGGAGGAGGGCCUUCGGGUUGUAAAGUACUUUCAGCGGGGGAGGAAGGAGUAAAGUUAUAUACUCUUUUGCUCAUUGACGUUACCCCGCAGGAGGAGGCAGCUGGCUUAAUCUCCGUGCCAGCAGCCCGCGUGUAAUAA